AUCUAAAUAGCUCAUAAUUAGAGCAUGGCAUUGAAGAUGCUAAGGAAAUAAUUAUUAUUUUUAGAUA
RNAcentral lists this transfer RNA (67 nucleotides) under Larinus turbinatus. RNAcentral's name for it is "tRNA-Phe". It matches the Rfam family "tRNA". From Rfam's summary of the family: Transfer RNA (tRNA) molecules are approximately 80 nucleotides in length. Their secondary structure includes four short double-helical elements and three loops (D, anti-codon, and T loops). Further hydrogen bonds mediate the characteristic L-shaped molecular structure. tRNAs have two regions of fundamental functional importance: the anti-codon, which is responsible for specific mRNA codon recognition, and the 3' end, to which the tRNAs corresponding amino acid is attached (by aminoacyl-tRNA synthetases). tRNAs cope with the degeneracy of the genetic code in two manners: having more than one tRNA (with a specific anti-codon) for a particular amino acid; and 'wobble' base-pairing, i.e. permitting non-standard base-pairing at the 3rd anti-codon position. Lineage: Eukaryota; Metazoa; Arthropoda; Insecta; Coleoptera; Curculionidae. The record is from RNAcentral.